Small nuclear RNA from Ictidomys tridecemlineatus (thirteen-lined ground squirrel), 106 nucleotides. Lineage: Eukaryota; Metazoa; Chordata; Mammalia; Rodentia; Sciuridae. The record is from Ensembl.
GUGCUCACUUCAGCAGCACAUAUACUAAAACUGAAACGAUACAGAGAAGAUUAGCCUGGCCCCUCGCAUGGAUGAUAUGCAAAUUCGUGAAGCAUCCCAUAUUUUU